AAAAAAAACCAGGAAGAAAGCAAGAAAGAAAGAGUCCGGGACCUGAACAAUCUUGUUCUUGUCUCUCCACAUAUGUACAUAUAUGUACAAGUAUCGUUACAUAAAAACACUCAAGAUUGAACAUAAUUACAGAAGGAUGCCAUUGAUGAUGUGGUGAUGCAAGGUGGUCCAUGAAAAUUAAGCUUGUAACUUGACCAAACUACCCUGGAAAGAUUAUAGGAAUUUUCUAUUAUGUUAG
Molecule: unclassified non-coding RNA, 238 nt
Filed under: Hevea brasiliensis (rubber tree)
Lineage: Eukaryota; Viridiplantae; Streptophyta; Magnoliopsida; Malpighiales; Euphorbiaceae
Source: RNAcentral